This 235-nucleotide ribosomal RNA is filed under the name uncultured bacterium. RNAcentral's name for it is "partial 16S ribosomal RNA". It matches the Rfam family "Bacterial small subunit ribosomal RNA", at positions 252 to 504 of the family's 1533-position model. The record is from RNAcentral.
GUGGGGUAAAAGCCUACCAAGGCCACGAUCAGUAGCCGACCUGAGAGGGUGAUCGGCCACAUUGGAACUGAGACACGGUCCAAACUCCUACGGGAGGCAGCAGUGGGGAAUAUUGCACAAUGGGCGAAAGCCUGAUGCAGCAACGCCGCGUGAACGAUGAAGGUCUUCGGAUCGUAAAGCUCUGUCCUAAGGGACGAUAAUGACGGUACCUUAGGAGGAAGCCCCGGCUAACUAC